RNAcentral lists this long non-coding RNA (390 nucleotides) under Vigna radiata. Its description in RNAcentral is "long non-coding RNA (VRAD_LNC008190)". The record is from RNAcentral. Lineage: Eukaryota; Viridiplantae; Streptophyta; Magnoliopsida; Fabales; Fabaceae.
UAAAAGAUAGUAUCAAAAGAUUACAUUGUUUCCCCCAACAACAAUAGGGUUUAGUUCACCAUUGUCAUGGUGAAUCUAGAUGAAAAAUGGAUGAAGAAUGGAAAAGCAAACCCUAGAUAAGAAGAAAUGGAGCCUAAGCAUCCAAGAGAUCCUCUCCAGAGAGUGAAAUUAGGUCUGGCCACCCCCUUUUGUCAAAAGAAUGAGUCUAAACUCGCACUAGGGCUAUUUAUAACCAAGAAAAGUAACAAAAUUCAAGACUAGGCCCAUCAUAGAACCGCCCGGCGCCAACACUCUGGUCAACCGCCCAACACUCUGGUCAACUUUUUCUGGUUGACUGGUUGACUUUUUUGGUUGACUAGUUAACUUUUCUGCAUUCUGGUUGACUUUUCU